GACGAACGCUGGCGGCGUGCUUAACACAUGCAAGUCGAACGGAAAGGCCCUGCUUUUGUGGGGUGCUCGAGUUGCGAACGGGUGAGUAACACGUGAGUAACCUGCCCUUGACUUUGGGAUAACUUCAUGAAACUGGGGCUAAUACCGGAUAGGAGCUCCUGCUGCAUGGUGGGGGUUGGAAAGUUUCGGCGGUUGGGGAUGGACUCGCGGCUUAUCAGCUUGUUGGUGGGGUAGUGGCUUACCAAGGCUUUGAACGGUAGCCGGCCUGAGCGGGUGACCGGACAAAUUGGGACUGAGAUACGGCACAGACUCCUACGGGAGGCAGCAGUGGGGAAUAGUGCACAAUGGGCGGAAGCAUGAUGCAGCAACGCCGCGUGCGGGAUGACGGCCUUCGGGUUGUAAACCGAUUUCGCCUGUGACGAAGCGUGAGUGACGGUAAUGGGUAAAGAAGCACCGGCUAACUACGUG
This 468-nucleotide ribosomal RNA is filed under the name uncultured bacterium. RNAcentral describes it as "partial 16S ribosomal RNA". It matches the Rfam family "Bacterial small subunit ribosomal RNA", at positions 28 to 507 of the family's 1533-position model. The record is from RNAcentral.